Long non-coding RNA from Camelina sativa (false flax), 782 nucleotides. RefSeq lists it as uncharacterized. The record is from RefSeq and is a predicted model, not a curated record. Lineage: Eukaryota; Viridiplantae; Streptophyta; Magnoliopsida; Brassicales; Brassicaceae.
ACAAACUUUUUUUUUCACUUCUUCUUCCUCACCAAAAAACAUCUUCCAUCGUUUUGAACGACCAUCUUUCAUUCUCUCGACCUCAAAUCCCUAAAUUAGAGUUUUGAUUCUCGAAUUACACCGUAUAAUCAAAUUCACUACUUCAUUAAUCCACCAAAUCUAUUUUCUGUAAAGUAUUAAAUCCGAAAAGGAGAGAAGCUGCAAUUAGUUAAAUCUAUUUGGUGUUUAUCAGUCGGAGAAUUCAGUUUUGACCCAUUAGUUUAUCGAACGGACUAACUAAUUCAAUCGCCUUGGAUAUACAAAUUGAGAAGUUUUGAAAACAGUACAGAAGAUUAUAACAAAAAAAAACAGUUAAAUUAAUGUGGCAAGUGAGUUCUUGGGAAGCUAUAGUUCUUGGAAAAUCUGGAAUAAACAGACUCUCUACAGUCAACUCUUUCAAUGGAAGCACUAUAAAAAGGCACGAGAGCGGCUGCCAUUGAAGAAGGCUUGAAAGAAUACAGAACGGAGAAAGUUAAGAAGCCCAUAAUAGUCCAUUAUUCGUUUGACGGGAGCCAUUAGUAGGUCCGUCGAGAAAGUGAUAAUUCUGUUACAAUAUCCGAUUAAUAAUUGCCGGGUUAUUUCUAAUUUAAAACCCGACCCAUAAUAUUGAAAUGUCUCAUUUAACCUUAAUGACUUGACUUCAGUCUAAUUUCGAGAGGGGCAUUUUCGUCUGAAAUGCAAGUUGUACUUCUCUUUUACUAUAAUAAAGAUAAAAGUACAGAAUGGAUUCCUAGCUUUUAACA